CUAAAUCCUCUCAUUGGUCGAGCCCCAAACUGACAAACACCGGCUCUCUAACCCGUUCACGUCAAGUCACAUGACAGCAGACAGUGAUGGAAUGUGAGGAAAAACAUUUCAUUUCUCUGUCGGAUUCUCUCCACAUUGUUGUCACACACUUUAAAUAACAACCUGAUGAAUACGUCGCAGCCUGUGCUCCUUCAAUAUGGGACCAAUUUCCACAAAUAACAUUUUGAUUAUUUUGUUAUUGCUGCAUUCCAGCUGCCUUUGAUGAUGCCGCAAUCAAUCAUUGUGUAAAGCAGCAAUGCAUUAAAAUCUGGAUCUCCCCCUGAACGUAUGGAACCACACGGCUUCCCCUCUGGUUACAACCUCCACCCCCCCAACAGACACACUUAGUGAGAUAAAGUGAAGCAGACACUAAUCAGAUGCACCCAGAAAGGUCAAGGCGCUCCCAUUUCCACGAGGAGUCUGUCGAUGCCUAAACAUAUUACUUAAAGGAUCAAACCUGAUAACCUCUUUCCCACCUGCGUGCGAUUGGUCCACUCAUAUCAAUAGCGCUCACGCCGUUACUGUGACCCCAUCCUUCACGAGAGGCGUAUGCAUUAUUCACAGCUUGCGUUUCUGCAUCUUUGCAUAAUCACGGGCGUCUGACCUCCAAAGAAAGUGCUGGAAUCUUCUUUGAUGACUGAGACACGAGGAGAAUUAUUGAGUGAGAUGAUAAAAGACAAAGUGUCAACAAUCAAAACAAAGACUAAACGCAUUACAGUCAAUUGAGACUUUUGAUUAUAAUCUUGCUCGUAAUCAAUCGCUCUCACGUCAAACACUUGAGAAAUCCAGUAGGACAUUUUUGGUUUUAUCGAAAUAUCUCACCUGACCUUUCGUCUACAUUCCCGUGAUUGGUUCAAAAUACCAAAGUCAAUCACAGUAAGCCCCGCCCUAAAGCAUCCCCUGCUUUAUGGUCUAAUAGAGACCUGUCAAUCAGCGUUAAGCCCCGCCCUAAAGCAUCCCCUGCUUGAUGGUCUGUUUGACUCUAAAUGGACCAUCAUUUACUAAAUAAACGUUAUGCUGUAUAGAAGAAGAAUUGGAACUAGAGAUUUAGACCAUAAACUCAUGUUUACAAUGUUUAUUGGAAAUAAAUCAAGACAGAAGUAGUUUCCUCAUAGACGUCUAUGGGAGCAGAGGAGUCGCCCCCUGCUGGUCACUACAGAGAAGUAGAGUCAUUUCCUCAUAGACGUCUAUGGGACCUGAGGAGUCGCCCCCUGCUGGUCACUACACAGAAUGCAGCUUUUAGACACUUUCACAUCGGCUUCACUUUUGAUUUAUUAGUUUAUCCAUUAGUUAAUCCAAACAUGCAACCGGAAUCCCUCCUUUUGAACACACACACACACACACACAUUCAGUGUCCCUCUCACACUACAAUCCGUAUUCAUGUCAGUCUUUGCUCCGAUUCUAAUGUCUAAAUAUUCUGACGAAUACAACGUUCUUUGGUUCUUUGGAAGGAGAGUUCUGUUAUACGACGCUCACAUAUUGUCAUUAUGUCAUUAGUAUUAUUCUCAGUGGAAUAAAAUGGUCUGAAAAUUGUAAUAAUAUUGUUUUAUCACAAAUAAUGUUGACGCAAUACACAACACACAAUAGAUACCGUGACUGGUUGUCAGUGUCUUUCAGGGAGAGGACAGCGUCAGGAAGAAGCCACCAGCUGAGCGCGAGCGGCUCGGUUGGGCCUUUCAGCUGAGCCGAGGGUUUAAUCCAUAAUGGCGUGCUGUGGGGGGGUCGGGGGCUCGCAGGGGGACCCUGCAGGGGGGUGAAGUGUGAGGAGACCACAGACCUCCCUCGUGUCCCAAUAUGGAAAAGAUGUGUGUUUCACACGAAUUAGAAAGAGAGAAUCAUUACGCGGCUGCAUAUUUUUGCUCGGUUAAUAACCUUUCACGUAUCGGCCGCACGCUCGUGAUCGAAUCAAUGGCCGCCGUCUGCACGUUACGGCUUCGCAAUGGGCCCCAGAGGGCCGGAGGGAGUGGGAAAAAGAACCGAUAAGAGUAUCAACGCAAUCCUGACCCCCCCCCCCCCUCAAAGACGGGACGCUCGGCAUGAACUCGUUACUGAAUUGUCUGUUUGGAAGUCACAGGCGUGCAAGAGGUGCAAAAGUGCAUUAAACACGACCUCGCCUUUUAUCACUCAGUUUGGCAGCAUUGUCUUCGGGCUCGUCUCCCAGAAUGCCGCGGCGGCGGCGGCGUUUUAAUCAAAGAGCAUCUCCUCAGCUGUGGGCGCGGCGCUCCGGCGCGUUUCAAACUGAAAUGUCACAGGGGGGGAUUUAGGCUUCGUAUCACGGGAAAGGCUGCCGGGAAAAAGCUUUUGAAUGAAACGCAACCUGGUUGUUGUUGGGACAUGAGAUAAACACCGACGACGACCCCCGACCCCCCACGGCCCCCCACAUGAGAACUACAUAAAAUACAGUUCUCUUUCCAGAAGGCGGAGCCACGUGAAUAACCACGCGUGUGACACAUGAAGAGGAACCAUGACGUUGAGGCGGUCACUUGUUUUAUAGCUUCAUAGCCGUCCAUAUUUUCUACAAGUGGUUUCUGAUUUUCAUGCCGUAAAAGCAGGAAAAGGCUAUUUCGUUGAUUUGCUCUGGAUCGGCGCUUCCUGUGUCGCAGCGUGCUUUCAGACACAGAUUCUCAGCGUGCGGUCGAGGAGGAAAAA
Molecule: long non-coding RNA, 2688 nt
Organism: Gasterosteus aculeatus aculeatus (three-spined stickleback)
Lineage: Eukaryota; Metazoa; Chordata; Actinopteri; Perciformes; Gasterosteidae
Source: Ensembl